Arabidopsis lyrata subsp. lyrata is the source of this 441-nucleotide long non-coding RNA. RefSeq lists it as uncharacterized. Lineage: Eukaryota; Viridiplantae; Streptophyta; Magnoliopsida; Brassicales; Brassicaceae. The transcript is spliced from 3 exons. The record is from RefSeq and is a predicted model, not a curated record.
UCCUCUGUAGCUUCAGAGUCUGCAUUUAGUACGAGUGGAAGGGUAUUGGAUCCUUAUAGGAGUUCUUUAACUCCUUACAUGGUUGAGGUUUUAAUAUGCACACAACAAUGGUUAAGGUGUUCCUAUAAAAAAGAGGAUGAUGUAACAAACUUGGCCCAAAUGUUAGAAGAAGUUGAUUUUUUUGAGUCACUUGAUGCUCGGAAUUCAACAAUUGCUCUUACAUGAUUCUUCAUAGUAUGGCAGGUAGGUAGGAAGCUGCGGUUUUUUGUCCUUUUGAUGUAGAAAAGCAGCCUUGGACAGUACUGACUUUGAAGCUGCUGUUUUGAUAAUUUUUUGGUGCGAAUCAACAUGCUUUUGUGAAUCUGCAUAUGGUAAGCUAACUACUAAAGCAAACUUGUUAUUUGUAUGGUUCUGUUAUUGUUUUUUGAAGUAAUGCUAGCU